GAUCAUUUCGAGUCUAGGGUUGUGGAAUGCAUAUUAGUGAUGUGGUGUGUAUUGUUGAACCCAAAUUUUGGCCUGGGCCCGCAUAAACAAAAAAUAUAAAACCAAAUAAAUUAAAACCAAAAUAAAUAAAGUCCAAUUAAUGUCCAAAUUACAAAAACCUAAUACCAGGCCCAAACUAUUAACCCAUUAGCCUAAUACCCAAACAGCCCAACUAAACGCAACUAAACCUUAGCCCAAAAAAAAUAAAAGAAAAAAGAAACCCUAAGCAGAAAAAAAUAGCAGCCGCCGCCCCCAGCACAACAUCCAGCCGCCGCACGACUCGGAGCUAGCCCUCC
This 335-nucleotide long non-coding RNA is filed under the name Gossypium raimondii (Peruvian cotton). RNAcentral's name for it is "long non-coding RNA (GRAI_LNC003868)". The record is from RNAcentral. Lineage: Eukaryota; Viridiplantae; Streptophyta; Magnoliopsida; Malvales; Malvaceae.